UGGUUUGUUGUAGCACAGUAAACACAUUUUUAAUGGCAUUAAGCCCAGGGAAUUCAGCUGUGAACAGCCAGAGGGAAGAAGCGAAAAAAUUAUCUAGGCCAGGGUGAUGAAGAUGGGGCGAGUUCAAAGACAAUGUGUUUAAACCUUGAAGACACACCCAGAUGCCGUGGUUUGUAACCAGCAGUAACUUCUAAAAUUAAGAACUUAUUUUUUUAAAAAAUCCAGCAGGAUAAACAUGAAUCCAAGGAUUGUAGAACCUUUUUUAGGGAUGUAUAAACCCAACUUCAUCACAACGAGCCAAUGAAAGUGAGUGUCCCAGGACACAAAUGAGUUCGGCAUUAAUUCACUUUAUAAUUCUUUUCAUUCCUAUUGCCAAGGAAUAAAAGAAUGGAUAAAAAAAAAAGGUGAUCAUUAAGUGCUUACAUUAUGUCAAGCACUGGUCUAACAGCUGUAGAUAGAAAGUGGGGGGGGGGGGGGAAGCAAAUAUUCCCCCCUCCCUCCUCCCUGCCCUGAAAGAGCUUACAUUUUUAUGGGUUGAGCUGGCACCCGUAGGGGAGUGGUGGCCAAGGAAGCACACUUUGGAAUAACCAAACCACACUUGGAGGAACACUGGGAUUUUUUUCCCCUGCUCAACAGAAUUUAUUGAAUUGAUAACUGGACAAGUCACGUGUGUACAAAAUGGCGCUCACAAUAGCCCAAAGCCUGGCACUGGGAGGAGUUAGGGGCGUGGGGCAGGAAGCAGCUACUGGGCUUUCCGGGAGAAGGUCGGAGGCGUGGUUACCCAAGAGACCCCACUGGCUUUGGUCAUCAAACUCAAGCAGAGCCCAAUGCUGGGCUGGGGCAAACAAAAUGAGGGCUGAAGACCCAGCGAUUCCAACUUCCCAGUUCAGCUCUUCCUUGCUGAGAGGAGUGUGCUGA
Molecule: long non-coding RNA, 918 nt
Filed under: Monodelphis domestica (gray short-tailed opossum)
Lineage: Eukaryota; Metazoa; Chordata; Mammalia; Didelphimorphia; Didelphidae
Description: lncRNA (ENSMODG00000036408.1)
Source: RNAcentral